UACGUAGGGAGCGAGCGUUGUCCGGAAUUAUUGGGCGUAAAGGGUUCGUAGACGGUUUGUCGCGUCGGGAGUGAAAACCAUGGGCUUAACUCAUGGCUUGCUUUCGAUACGGGCAGACUUGAGGUAUGCAGAGGAGAACGGAAUUCCUGGUGUAGCGGUGAAAUGCGCAGAUAUCAGGAGGAACACCGAUGGCGAAGGCAAGUCUCUGGGCAGUAACUGACGCUGAGGAGCGAAAGUAUGGGGAGCGAACAGG
RNAcentral lists this ribosomal RNA (253 nucleotides) under uncultured bacterium. RNAcentral's name for it is "partial 16S ribosomal RNA". It matches the Rfam family "Bacterial small subunit ribosomal RNA", at positions 524 to 776 of the family's 1533-position model. The record is from RNAcentral.